GAGCGUGUGGAGGACCGAACCCACCUAGGUUGAAAACUGGGGGGAUGAGCUGUGGAUAGGGGUGAAAGGCCAAUCAAACUCUGUGAUAGCUGGUUCUCCCCGAAAUGCAUUUAGGUGCAGCGUUACGUGUUUCUUGCCGGAGGUAGAGCUACUGGAUGGCCGAUGGGCCUUCACGGGUUACUGACGUCAGCUAAACUCCGAAUGCCGGUAAGUGAGAGCGUAGCAGUGAGACAGUGGGGGAUAAGCUUCAUUGUCGAGAGGGAAACAGCCCAGACCAUCAACUAAGGCCCCUAAGCGUGUGCUAAGUGGGAAAGGAUGUGGAGUUGCUGAGACAACCAGGAGGUUGGCUUAGAAGCAGCCAUCCUUGAAAGAGUGCGUAAUAGCUCACUGGUCAAGUGAUUCUGCGCCGAUAAUGUAGCGGGGCUCAAGUACACCGCCGAAGUUAUGGCAAUCAGCCUUUUUGUGGCUGGUUGGGUAGGGGAGCGUCCUGCAUGAGGUGAAGCUGCCACGGGAGUGUGUGGUGGAUUGUGUGGGAGUGAGAAUGCAGGCAUGAGUAGCGAAUCACGGGUGAGAAACCCGUGCGCCGGAUGAUCAAGGGUUCCAGGGUCAAGUUAAUCUGCCCUGGGUUAGUCGGGGCCUAAGGCGAGGCCGACAGGCGUAGUCGAUGGAUAACGGGUUGAUAUUCCCGUACCAGUGAAGAACCGUCCAUACUGAUAUUGUGAUGCUAACCAUGCCGAACACAGUGUGCUGCUCUUUUGGGUGGUGUGUUGUGGGGUGUGUGGGACCCAGGCUUUGGAGGUAAGCGUGUUAACAGGUGUGACGCAGGAAGGUAGCCAAGCCACGCGGUGGUUGUCGUGGUCUAAGCGUGUAGGAUGGUUGGUUGUUAAAUGCGCCAGCUGUGUGUCUGAGACGUGAUGGGACCCCGUUGUUGGGGGAUUUGGUGAUCCUAUGCUGUCGAGAAAAGCAUCGGCGUGAGGUUUGAGCUGCCCGUACCCGAAACCGACACAGGUGAUCAGGUAGAGAAUACUAAGGCGAUCGAGAGAAUCAUGGUUAAGGAACUCGGCAAAAUGCCCCCGUAACUUCGGGAGAAGGGGGACCUUGAGCGUGAUGGGCACUUGCUGCCUGGAGCGUGUAUGGGUCGCAGAGACCAGGGGGAAGCGACUGUUUAUCAAAAACACAGGUCCGUGCGAAGUCGUAAGACGAUGUAUACGGACUGACUCCUGCCCGGUGCUGGAAGGUUAAGAGGAUUGGUUAGCCCUUUUUGGGCGAAGCUGAGAAUUUAAGCCCCAGUAAACGGCGGUGGUAACUAUAACCAUCCUAAGGUAGCGAAAUUCCUUGUCGGGUAAGUUCCGACCUGCACGAAUGGAGUAACGACUUCCCUACUGUCUCAACCAUGAACUCGGCGAAAUUGCAGUACGAGUAAAGAUGCUCGUUUCGCGCAGCAGGACGGAAAGACCCCGUGACCUUUACUAUAGUUUGGUAUUGGUGUUUGGUUUGGCUUGUGUAGGAUAGGUGGGAGACUGUGAAGCAUGGACGCUAGUUUGUGUGGAGUCGUUGUUGAAAUACCACUCUGGUCAAUCUGGAUGUCUAACUUCGGGCCAUGAUCUGGUUCAGGGACAGUGCCUGAUGGGUAGUUUAACUGGGGCGGUUGCCUCCUAAAGUGUAACGGAGGCGCCCAAAGGUUCCCUCAGCCUGGUUGGCAAUCAGGUGUUGAGUGUAAGUGCACAAGGGAGCUUGACUGUGAGACUGGCAGGUCGAGCAGGGACGAAAGUCGGGACUAGUGAUCCGGCGGUACGUUGUGGAACGGCCGUCGCUCAACGGAUAAAAGGUACCUCGGGGAUAACAGGCUGAUCUUGCCCAAGAGUCCAUAUCGACGGCAUGGUUUGGCACCUCGAUGUCGGCUCGUCGCAUCCUGGGGCUGGAGUCGGUCCCAAGGGUUGGGCUGUUCGCCCAUUAAAGCGGUACGCGAGCUGGGUU
This 1977-nucleotide ribosomal RNA is filed under the name human oral metagenome. RNAcentral's name for it is "bacterial LSU rRNA". It matches the Rfam family "Bacterial large subunit ribosomal RNA", at positions 760 to 2611 of the family's 2925-position model. The record is from RNAcentral.